CUUAUGUUUGUACUGAUCAAUUGAACAACUUAACUGCGCAAUAUUGUUUCUCAUGAAUACUCAUAAGUUAUAGAAGAUGUUUGAUACAUCUUCUAUUCAAACAACUAUUUUAAAUUUAUUUAAGGCGGAGACAGGUUCCCUUAUAUGGGCAACUAUUUCCACGAUCGUGAGCGGCAUUAUCGGUCUAAUAUGCACUACCUACCUUAUCUAUAUCAAUUGGGAACAUCACCACAUCAAACAUCCAGGAACAGGUUUGGCAGAAGUGGGUUAUAUGGGUGUGAAUCUUGCGGUCGCUAUCACUUUAAUUCUGAGUGGCUUUGAGUUCACAUUCUCCACUUUAUUGCUCGUGGGUAUCGUUAAAAAAAACGCUGGCUAUGUAAAAUCAUACUUCACGUAUGGUGUCGUUAAAACAAUACUUGCUGGUUUGGUCGUGACCAACACGAUACUUGAGACUCGCAUAGACGCGAUGUUUUUUAAAAUUGCAAUGAUUUUUGCGCUACAUUCCUUAAUCCUCCUGAUGGUCCGUAAUACUUACCUUAAGUUUAAAGCUAAUUGUUGUAUGGAGAAAACCUUACUUUAGGAAAAUAGAAAAUAUUUCAAAAAAUCGUACAAAUCUAUAUAGUAGUAGCUUUUUCCAAACUAUUAUUAUAUUACUAGUAAACCAUUUCCAAUUUGUACCUACAUAUAUAACAGGCUAUAUCUACAGAUUUCGAGUCAUGUUCGGUACAUCCAAAACAAUGUUAAUAAUUAUUGCUACGAAAUGAAUUAUACAGUUUGUUUGCAUUUUUA
Molecule: long non-coding RNA, 789 nt
Organism: Pieris brassicae (large cabbage white)
Lineage: Eukaryota; Metazoa; Arthropoda; Insecta; Lepidoptera; Pieridae
Exons: 5
Source: RefSeq, a predicted model, not a curated record